RNAcentral lists this ribosomal RNA (253 nucleotides) under uncultured prokaryote. RNAcentral's name for it is "partial 16S ribosomal RNA". It matches the Rfam family "Bacterial small subunit ribosomal RNA", at positions 525 to 777 of the family's 1533-position model. The record is from RNAcentral.
ACAGAGGGGGCAAGCGUUAUUCGGAAUUAUUGGGCGUAAAGGGCGCGUAGGCGGCUUUGCAAGUGACGGGUGAAAUCCCUCGGCUUAACCGAGGAACUGCCUGUCAAACUGCAUGGCUUGAGACCAGGAGAGGUGAGUGGAAUUCCCAGUGUAGCGGUGAAAUGCGUAGAUAUUGGGAGGAACACCAGUGGCGAAGGCGGCUCACUGGGCUGACACUGACGCUCAUGCACGAAAGCGUGGGGAGCAAACAGGA